UACGCUUGGCGUCUGCUUCCCCUCACUAGCUCCGUGCCUCAGCUUGCUGCCCUGUAAAGUGGGAAGGGUACUGGCACGGAGCCAGGGAGCCGUUGUGAGGAUUAGUGGAUUGAUCUUUGGAAAGCACACGCGUCGCCCCCAAGCCAGUCUGAACUUUGCUAUUCCACGCUAAGACUGACGCCAGCCAGCCCUAGCCCCUCCCUUAAAGGCCCUGUCAAGGGCGACGCUGCCGCAGACACACAGCAAAGCAGGAUGACGUCAUUUACGCUGGUACCGGUUCCUUCCUGUGAGCUGCUCACGUAGAAGAAAGAUGACAGGAAAAGAGCGGAAAGGAUGGGAAAAUGUUUGCUUGAAGCCAACACUCAGAGAGGACAAGGACAAAGCCCACAGCUGCCUAAAACUUCUUCCUUCCAGCUGCAGAUUCCACGUCCUCCAGACCGUCUCCACCCCAAAGCGGCUGAGAGGCGCAGUCUCUCCCUCUUUUAUUUGGUUUGAUCUCCCUCCUUUCCCUUCAGCUGAAGCAGCAGCUGCCUCUUCCUUGGCUGAGUGUGAAUUCUGAUCCUACCGUUUAUUUCACUCUGCAGUCCAGGUCUCCUGGGACCCGCGGAGUUGAAACUGCUGACCACACAACAGUAUCCAGUUUCAGGAGAGCAUUGUUCCACAGAGAGCACAAGCAUACACCUGUUGAUGGAGUCAGCCUGCGGGUUUUCCAUGCUGAUACCAAUAAGGAUUUAUCAUGGAACAAGAUGCAAAAAAUCGAUCCGAUUUCACAAGAUAAAAUACGAAAAAAGCAACUGCUCAUUGCUGGUCUCCUGCAGGAGCUCCAGGCUGUUUAGGAGAAAAGUCAGCAAUGACUGUGCUUUGGGAAUGAAUUUUGUUAAAGCCUUCCCACUAUUGUCAGCAACAAGGAGCUUGGCUUCCAACAUGGUUAUAAUUUUUUUCUUUUUUUGCUUACUUCCUAACUUCUAAUUGCUCUCUGUGACCUACUGAACUUAGAAAAAUAAAUUGCACACACCAUGAAAUAACAA
Long non-coding RNA from Cavia porcellus (domestic guinea pig), 1028 nucleotides. RefSeq lists it as uncharacterized. The transcript is spliced from 3 exons. NCBI's taxonomy places the organism in Eukaryota, Metazoa, Chordata, Mammalia, Rodentia, Caviidae. The record is from RefSeq and is a predicted model, not a curated record.